UUAUGAUUUGUCACAGUAGAAUUUUCAACUAUACUGUGUACAGAUGAAAUUAGCAUGGCCCCUGCGCAAGGAUGACACGCAAAAUCGUGAAGCGUUUCACAUUUUU
Small nuclear RNA from Leptinotarsa decemlineata (Colorado potato beetle), 106 nucleotides. The record is from RefSeq and is a predicted model, not a curated record. NCBI's taxonomy places the organism in Eukaryota, Metazoa, Arthropoda, Insecta, Coleoptera, Chrysomelidae.